UAGUCCACGCCGUAAACGUUGGGAACUAGGUGUGGGUCUCAUUCCACGAGAUCCGUGCCGCAGCUAACGCAUUAAGUUCCCCGCCUGGGGAGUACGGCCGCAAGGCUAAAACUCAAAGGAAUUGACGGGGGCCCGCACAAGCGGCGGAGCAUGUGGAUUAAUUCGAUGCAACGCGAAGAACCUUACCAAGGCUUGACAUACACCGGAAACAUUCAGAGAUGGGUGCCCCGUAAGGUCGGUGUACAGGUGGUGCAUGGUUGUCGUCAGCUCGUGUCGUGAGAUGUUGGGUUAAGUCCCGCAACGAGCGCAACCCUCGUUCCAUGUUGCCAGCAGCACUUUCGGGUGGCUGGGGACUCAUGGGAGACUGCCGGGGUCAACUCGGGAGGAAGGUGGGGAUGACGUCAAAUCAUCAUGCCCCUUAUGUCUUGGGGCUUCACACAUGCUACAAUGGCCGGGUACAAAGGGGCUGCGAUACCGC
RNAcentral lists this ribosomal RNA (478 nucleotides) under uncultured bacterium. Its description in RNAcentral is "bacterial SSU rRNA". It matches the Rfam family "Bacterial small subunit ribosomal RNA", at positions 791 to 1258 of the family's 1533-position model. The record is from RNAcentral.